Molecule: transfer RNA, 64 nt
Filed under: Salmo salar (Atlantic salmon)
Lineage: Eukaryota; Metazoa; Chordata; Actinopteri; Salmoniformes; Salmonidae
Rfam family: tRNA
About the family: Transfer RNA (tRNA) molecules are approximately 80 nucleotides in length. Their secondary structure includes four short double-helical elements and three loops (D, anti-codon, and T loops).
Source: Rfam by way of RNAcentral
GCCGAAAUAGCUCAGUUGGAGAGCGUUAGACUGAAGGUCCCUGGUUCGAUCCCAUUUUUCGGUA